Molecule: ribosomal RNA, 449 nt
Filed under: uncultured bacterium
Lineage: Bacteria
Description: bacterial SSU rRNA
Rfam family: Bacterial small subunit ribosomal RNA
Source: RNAcentral
UGCCAGACUCCUACGGGAGGCAGCAGUGGGGAAUAUUGCACAAUGGGGGAAACCCUGAUGCAGCGACGCCGCGUGAGCGAAGAAGUACCUCGGUAUGUAAAGCUCUAUCAGCAGGGAAGAGGAUGACGGUACCUGACCAAGGAGCUCCGGCUAAAUACGUGCCAGCAGCCGCGGUAAUACGUAUGGAGCAAGCGUUAUCCGGAUUUACUGGGUGUAAAGGGAGCGCAGGCGGCGCGUUAAGCCUGGUGUGAAAGGCCGCGGCCCAACCGCGGGACUGCAUUGGGAACUGGCGCGCUGGAGUGCCGGAGGGGUAGGCGGAAUUCCUAGUGUAGCGGUGAAAUGCGUAGAUAUUAGGAGGAACACCAGUGGCGAAGGCGGCCUACUGGACGGUGACUGACGCUGAGGCUCGAAAGCGUGGGGAGCAAACAGGAUUAGAUACCCCCGUACCG